This 292-nucleotide long non-coding RNA is filed under the name Haliotis rufescens (red abalone). Its description in RNAcentral is "uncharacterized LOC124111308". The record is from RNAcentral. Lineage: Eukaryota; Metazoa; Mollusca; Gastropoda; Lepetellida; Haliotidae.
UAUAAGUACCACGAGCCCUUCAGAUGAGUUUCCAACUAUCUCAUCCACUAUGAAGGCUGUGUGUCUACUUCUCCUCGUUUCUGUCCUGCUCGUCGGAGCAGCCUUUGUCGCCGACGCCCAAGUGUGCAACGGCGAAUGUCAUAACAACAGCGACUGUAACCACUGCCACGGCUGCAGCUUCCAUUGUGACAAGGGUCACAACGACGUCGUUGGACAUUGUAAAUGUCACUAGCCCCCAUGCAGGAUCAUCCAGGCAAUAAUGCUGAUUCUUGAAUAAAAAUGGAAAUGAUUA